This is an RNA transcript of Triticum aestivum (bread wheat), 2179 nucleotides long. RefSeq lists it as uncharacterized. NCBI's taxonomy places the organism in Eukaryota, Viridiplantae, Streptophyta, Magnoliopsida, Poales, Poaceae. The record is from RefSeq and is a predicted model, not a curated record. The transcript is spliced from 11 exons.
GGCUGGCUUGCCCUUUCGUGCUCCCCAUUCGUCCCCUCCUCUCUUGUCUUCUCCGCUCGCCGCCGACUCGCGUCCCCUUCGAUUUGCCGUCGUUCUCAGGACGGAGACCUAGCCGCCGCCUCCUCCCGCACUCGCUCGUCCCUCCUCCUCCUCUACGUCUCCUCCACCCAAUCCCUAACCCACGCCGCCGCCGUCUCCUUCACCAGCCCACCGGAAGCCCGCCGUCCACUUCCCCGGCGUCGUCGCCGUGUCCUCGCGUGCACACGGCAGGAGGAGCGCCCCCACCCUCUCCUCUCCUCCUCCCCUUAUCAAGAGCCAGGACAAGGAGGGCCACCGUGGCCGAGCAGGUCAGGUGUUGCGUCCAGAUCGCCAAGGAGCCGCCUGCAAGGUCGGCCAUGGCGUGACUGAGCAGAGCAGCCUCAGCAUGGUCCGGUUGCUGCGGAUUGGUGAGCUAUAGAAGGUACCUCGUGUGGCCUGGUUGAGGUACCAUGCUUGUUGUGGAUUGCAGCCUCAUGUGUGCGUGGAGCACAUCUUGGGUGUUCAGGGUUUAGGCAACCCCAACAACUCUGGCUCCAUCGUCCCUGAGCUCAGCCGUCUUGUGAAUCUUUAGUACCUGGAGCUGUACAGGAACAACCUCAAUGGCGAGAUCCCAAAAGAAUUGGGCAAACUGAAGAAAUUAAUCGGUUUGGAUUUGUAUGCCGAUAAUCACUGGAAGAAUCCCCAAGUCACUUUCCAAGCUCAGCUCACUGAUAUUGAUGAAUAUAUGUUUAUUGUAGCAGGUAAAUCCUUCUAUUUUUAGGAGAAGGAAAGCUAACUACUUUGAAGCUGGGCAGAAGCAAUAUCAUGGUGGCACACUUGGUGUGCCCAUGCCAUCAGUCUCAAGCAUUGGGUGUAGAAGUUCUCCGCCAACCUGAAGUGUGUGUGCAUGCUGAUCGGUCUCAAGCGUUGGCUGUAGAAGUUCUCUGCCAAUCCGUCCAUACAUGCCACAGAUUACUUCAAUCUGAAGGCGUCAUGAUUGUCAUUUGGUCAGUGCUUGAUGUGCUUCUGUGCUGGAUCAAGUCCAAUUAGCUACUGCUAAUUAUUGCACCCUUUGUGGAGGAGGACAACGACCAGGGCAUCCAUGGUCGAGAGCUCGGCUCCUUGGCGCUUCACAAAAAAUACUUGCGUCGGUUGGGACCAAAGUUUCAGAUCGCGGGCGAAAACAGCGCGAUCGCGGCGCGAUCGCGUGCUGGAACCCUUCCCGCGACGCAAUCCCAUAAAAAACGCGAUCUGCCGCUAACCGCGCGAUCACGCGUGAAACGACGCUAUUUGACUUCGCUAUCGCUGCAAAAUCGCGGGCAUGGGCCGAAAGACUGAAACACAAGGGCCCAAAUGCCCCAAACAGAUCAGAACGGCCCAAAUUCGCGAUGUGCCGACUGUUGCUUCGUUGGAAGCCAGAUUCGGUUGCGGGGGAGGUGGAAAGGCGACCGGCGACGAGGGGCCUCUGCACGACGUCGCCUCUACGACCACGAUGACAUCUCAGUCUCAGUCUCAAACGGUUCCAGCAGCCGGGGCAAGCACAUCGCCAGGAGGUUCACACAAAGAGACGCAGCAGGCUGGUGCAUGACAAGAUGAGUGACCUUGUUUUCAUCAAGUUCAACUCCAAACUGAAGGACAAGAAACUAAACAAACUCAAGGACCCCAUUGAGAAGCAGGUGGUAGAUGUUUUAGAAGAUGAUGAGAAUGAAUGGAUCACUGGUGUGGUGCCUAAUGGUGAUGAAGAACAAGUUGAAGGUGAAGAUCAAGAUCAAGAAAUUCCAUAUGCAAGCUCGCAUGCUGGACCAGGAACUUCUGCUAUUAAUCCCCUUAAAAGGAAGAGGGGUGUCUAUGGUAAGAAGAAGAAGAUGAUGAUCCCUGUUACUCCUCAAGAAGAUCUGCUCUCUGCUUCCUCUGCUUCAGAAAGUGACGACGACGAGGACACCAACAUGAGUUCUGGUUCUGACAUGUGAGCUUGUCGGUUUCUUUAUGAAGUUCGUUUUGGCGCUCAUGAUUCUAUCCUUUCCUGUGUGCUUUUGACAAAUGAAUUCUGAAGACUUUGUGAUGCAUGUAAUGGACUAUGGACAUGCUGCUGUUGUUACUUAACUUCUGCCGAACUGCUGAUGUUAUGCUUGAUGCAGUCUUGAAUUUAUGUUUUUAUUUA